RNAcentral lists this long non-coding RNA (852 nucleotides) under Malus domestica (apple). RNAcentral's name for it is "long non-coding RNA (MDOM_LNC012773)". The record is from RNAcentral. Lineage: Eukaryota; Viridiplantae; Streptophyta; Magnoliopsida; Rosales; Rosaceae.
GUUCCUAUACGACUCAAAUGAAUCAUAUAAGAAGGAAUAAUCACAUUAGGGGUUUGACAUAAUAUAUCCAUAUCCUAGUAAUGUGUUUGAGAGUAUUGUUUUAGAGAAGGAUCGAAUUACAUUGUAAUUCCAACUGAAUAGGUUCUCCGAACAACUUCUACAUUAGCUUGGGUAGAUAUGACAUAUGGUUAGAUGUCACUCAUAGCUUGUGAGUUCUUCUAGAUGAUUAAAUGUAGUCCUCAAAGAAGAAAGGUGAAUUAAAAGGAAGUUUUUAAUUCACUAAGUGAUUGGAUUAAAUAUAAUCAAUUGGAUUGAUAUCAAUCACCUCACUGCCUUGCUAAUUGAACCUAAAAUGAUUGUACACCGAUACACUCUUGUAGUGAGUAAUUAAUGGAUGAUGGAAAUAAUUAAUUGGAUUAAUUAAGUGUUGUGAUUAAUUUAGAAAGUCUAAAGAAAUCAUAAUAGCGAUAAAAGAUCGUUUUGGGCUUAAAGAAACGUUCGGGUUUAAUUGGGCCCAUUGGGUUCAUUGGGCUUUUAUUCAAGCAUUGGAUGACUAGAAAUAAAUAAAAGCCCAAAGCCCAAACCAACACAAAGGGGCUGGCCCUUGCAAGUGGAGAGGGAGAGAUAUUUAGUCAAGUUGUUGACUAGGUUUCUUUUUGUCUAUAUAAGGAACUUUAUAGAGUUUUAAUCCUUAGGGUUUUUUGUGUGUUUUAAAACAACAAAGAGGCUAAAGAAAACAUCUCUCUAAAACCACAAAGGCCGGCCACCUAGAGGGUGAAUUAGCUAACAAUCUUUCACCCUUUUGGUUAUUCCUCCAUCCAUCUCACUACACUAGUGGGUGUGGAUAUUUAG